AACAAAAACAUGUCUUUUUGAAAUUAAUAUAAAGUUUAACCUGCCCAAUGAAGGAUUUAAUGGCCGCAGUAAAUUGACUGUGCAAAGGUAGCAUAAUCAUUAGUUUUUUAAUUAAAAGCUGGAAUGAAUGGUUGGACGAGAUAUAAACUGUCUUAGAUUAAAAAAUAGAAUUUAAUUAUUUAGUAAAAAAGCUAAAAUAAAUAUAAAAGACGAGAAGACCCUAUAGAUCUUUAUAUUAUUUUAAUUAAAAUUAAAAAUGAAUUAAUUAAUAAUUUAAUUAAAAUAUUAUUUUAUUGGGGUAAUAAGAAGAUUAAAUAAAUUCUUUAUAAUAUAAACAUUAAUUAAUGAAUAUAAUAUGAUCCUUUAUUAAGAAAAUAAGAAUAAGUUACCUUAGGGAUAACAGCGUAAUUUUUUUAAAGAGUUCAUAUCGAUAAAAAAGUUUGCGACCUCGAUGUUG
Molecule: ribosomal RNA, 457 nt
Filed under: Hydrovatus frater
Lineage: Eukaryota; Metazoa; Arthropoda; Insecta; Coleoptera; Dytiscidae
Description: partial 16S ribosomal RNA
Rfam family: Archaeal large subunit ribosomal RNA (bases 1-152)
Source: RNAcentral